Long non-coding RNA from Gorilla gorilla gorilla (western lowland gorilla), 599 nucleotides. RefSeq lists it as uncharacterized. The record is from RefSeq and is a predicted model, not a curated record. Lineage: Eukaryota; Metazoa; Chordata; Mammalia; Primates; Hominidae. The transcript has 2 exons.
CCUCUGGAAGGAGUAUGGCCCUGCCUACAGCUUGAUUUGGAUUUCUGGCCCCUAGAACUGUGAGAGAACAACUGUCUGCUGUGAAAAGUGACCUAGGUUUGUGGGAAUUCGUUACAGCAGCCCCAGAAAAUGGAACAGCUGCUAAGUGAGACUCCUCAGCCAGGCCAGAGAAUGUGCAUUCUGAUGGACUGCUUCUCAUUUGCACUGAUCACUGUGAGUGUCUGAUGGGUGGGCAUCCGGCGCCCAGAGAAGGAGUUGCUCUGUUAUCCUGGCACUCCAUAAAGAACAGGUAGAAAUAAGCGCUUCUUACCAAGAUGAAAUCCACCCAUCAUUUCUGAAUGGCUCAGUUUUGAUUUCAUCUCCCAAGGUCUUCUUUCUGAAACCAGCCCAACUUUUCUCCCAGAGAGUAUCACGGAACUGAACUUUCAGGAUCAUGGCAUCUGGACGUCGAGAAAACAGAACCCUCAUCUGGCCACCUGCUGCUUUUUGACCAAUUCCCAUAUGAACCGCUAACUUCAGUCAGUUGGAGGGAUGGAUUUGAGAUUUGCCUUCUGUCUCUCAGCUGAUGUCACCAGCAAUAAAGCCUUCUUCCCUGGCAA